UAUAUAUAUAUAUAUAUAUAGGCCAUGGUACCUCACUUCAAAAAGGCCUUCUCACCCCACCUUUUGCCUAAGGCCUUAUAUGGUACCCUAUCGCCUUAAUGUCACCUCUCACCUUAAUGAGGCUAGAUGAAACCAAUUAGCAACAAGCAACUAACUGAAUCCAAUUUUUAUAUUAUUUUCAAUAUUUGGUAAUCUUAGCCAUUUGCAAUUGCAAGCUAAAAAUG
RNAcentral lists this unclassified non-coding RNA (224 nucleotides) under Hevea brasiliensis (rubber tree). The record is from RNAcentral. Lineage: Eukaryota; Viridiplantae; Streptophyta; Magnoliopsida; Malpighiales; Euphorbiaceae.